RNAcentral lists this ribosomal RNA (269 nucleotides) under uncultured bacterium. RNAcentral describes it as "partial 16S ribosomal RNA". It matches the Rfam family "Bacterial small subunit ribosomal RNA", at positions 29 to 289 of the family's 1533-position model. The record is from RNAcentral.
AUGAACGCUGGCGGCGUGCCUAACACAUGCAAGUCGAGCGGAGGUGUGGAGUAGUUUACUAUGAAGCAUCUUAGCGGCGGACGGGUGAGUAACGCGUGGGCAACCUGCCCUAUGCAGGGGGAGUAACAUAUCGAAAGGUGUGCUAAAACCGCAUAAAGCUUAAGAAUCGCAUGAUUUUUAAGUCCAAAGAUUUAUCGGCAUAGGAUGGGCCCGCGUCUGAUUAGCUAGUUGGUGAGGUAACGGCUCACCAAGGCGACGAUCAGUAGCCG